UACGUAGGGUGCAAGCGUUGUCCGGAAUUAUUGGGCGUAAAGAGUUCGUAGGCGGUUUGUCGAGUCUGCUGUGAAAUUUCGGGGCUCAACCCCGAACUUGCAGUGGGUACGGGCAGACUAGAGUGUGGUAGGGGAGACUGGAAUUCCUGGUGUAGCGGUGAAAUGCGCAGAUAUCAGGAGGAACACCGAUGGCGAAGGCAGGUCUCUGGGCCAUAACUGACGCUGAGAAGCGAAAGCAUGGGGAGCGAACAGG
This 253-nucleotide ribosomal RNA is filed under the name uncultured bacterium. RNAcentral's name for it is "partial 16S ribosomal RNA". It matches the Rfam family "Bacterial small subunit ribosomal RNA", at positions 524 to 776 of the family's 1533-position model. The record is from RNAcentral.